RNAcentral lists this ribosomal RNA (253 nucleotides) under uncultured bacterium. RNAcentral's name for it is "partial 16S ribosomal RNA". It matches the Rfam family "Bacterial small subunit ribosomal RNA", at positions 524 to 776 of the family's 1533-position model. The record is from RNAcentral.
UACAGAGGGUGCAAGCGUUGUUCGGAAUUACUGGGCGUAAAGCGCGUGUAGGUGGCGAUGUAAGUCGGGUGUGAAAGCCCUUGGCUUAACCAAGGAAGUGCACUCGAUACUGUGUCGCUUGAGUAUCGGAGGGGGUGGCGGAAUUCCCGGUGUAGAGGUGAAAUUCGUAGAUAUCGGGAGGAACACCUGUGGCGAAGGCGGCCACCUGGACGAUCACUGACACUGAGACGCGAAAGCGUGGGUAGCAAACAGG